ACUUUAAUCAUUACUUCAAGUGAGAUCCAAGAAAUGUUGAAUCACAGGCAAAUAUUAAUGAAACUGGAAAAAAGUUCCUAAAGCCUGGAAAUGCCCUCAUGUCCAUCAUCUUUUCAAGAAUGAGAAACUAUGAAUUGGGAUCUAGAUCCAAGCCUGUAGUUUAUCAAGGAUUGCCAACAAUCUGUGCUCUAAAGGAAUACAGUUGUACCUAGUACAAAGUAAGUAUACUGUUGUGAGUAGCAUUGUUACUUUUGAAACUAUGAAUUUUCCUGGCAACUUAUACAUAACACACCAUACAAAAUCAGUUCUCGCUGUUUGUCACCCAUAUGUAUUUUUGCAGAUACUCUUUAUUUCAAAGAGAGUUUCUUGCUCUACAAUUUUACAAUCCUCCAGGACAAAACAUACAUUACACAUUUUUACUGUAAUGAUAUUUUAUAUUAAAAACAACUCCAGCUCUG
Long non-coding RNA from Crotalus tigris (Tiger rattlesnake), 458 nucleotides. RefSeq lists it as uncharacterized. NCBI's taxonomy places the organism in Eukaryota, Metazoa, Chordata, Lepidosauria, Squamata, Viperidae. The transcript has 2 exons. The record is from RefSeq and is a predicted model, not a curated record.